Molecule: small nuclear RNA, 109 nt
Organism: Suncus etruscus (white-toothed pygmy shrew)
Lineage: Eukaryota; Metazoa; Chordata; Mammalia; Eulipotyphla; Soricidae
Source: RefSeq, a predicted model, not a curated record
GUGCUCGCUUUGGCAGCACAUAUAAACUAAAAUUGGAAUGAUACAGAGAAGAUUAGCAUGGCUCCUGCGCAAGGAUGAUACACAAAUUCAUGAAGCGUUCCAUAUUUUA